GCGACCUGCCAUCGGUGCGCACUGCGCGGUGCUGUUGCAAAUGGCAGCUGCUUUUGGAUCACGCAUAGAUGGCAGAUUAAUAAUGAACGCAGCUAUUUGCGGUUUUAGUGAGAUACUAACACUACAGGUAUUAUAGAAACAUAUUGGCAUCAACUCUUCCAAGAAUUUGACAACUUUGCGCUGAAACGUCCAGUAUUACGGAUUCUUCGAGACAACUGGACAGGGGUGUUUUUUGCGCUUCCGAUUUCAUUGCGCAUACAGCGAGAGCGUCAGAGAGGGAGAGAAAGAGAUCCGUCACAGCCUCUCAGCACAACCGGGUCAAGCCCACGUGAAUUCUUGUUGGGACCAGAUCGCGGCCGGCCCGGGGGGUAAUCAAGCAUGUUCCAGCCACAAACAAUGUUCUGAUAGAGAGAUUCGAAGCUCCUCAUCCCGCUGUGUGGAGAAGAAAAGAUUGAGUCUCUCAUUCAUCACUUUUAGAUCAGUAUUGAUCAGCUGGCAGGACGGCGGUAGAGUGAUUUACACUGGCCUUUUACGACGACGAUGGGGGCGUCUGACCCAUGCAGUGGCUAAAAGCCUCUCAUCUCCAGCAACCAGACAUGAUGGCCAAUGAGAUAUGCUGACGUAUCGCUGGAUCUCAGACUUCUUCUGACCUGUGGUGGAAAAAGCUUCUGACUGGAUGGGAAAAACAACACCUUUCACAUCAAAUAUGUUCUCUAUUAAGAGUGGACAACAAAGUGCCUGAGGUCAGCAAAAAUGUCAGGACACAGCAGAGCGACAGACCUUGCAAGGACAAUUUCCUUUAUUAUUAAGGUCUUUCUAAGCUGAACUCACGGACAUGAAUUUUCCAUCUCUGAAGCCGCCAAAAGUGAUUAAUGAGACAAAAUCCAGACAGACUGUGGAAUAAACCUGAGCGACGCCACCGUCCUUUGAAAUUCAGCUUUCUUGAGGUUGCAUCAGCGAGAUGUGAAGCAGAUAAAUGAACGACUUUUGUUCGAAUUGUCAAAAACUGUCACAGGCCUAGUCUGACGGGUGCUGGGACCACCGACUGGGUGCUUCGGCUCAGACUAUGAUUUUGACUGAUUUCUUGGCGUUUUUGAGAUGGAUUGGAUCAGAAAAUCAGCCCUGAAGUGAAGCAAGUCAAUGAAGAAACAAUGCCCUCAGCUUUAUAGACAAAAUAUUUAUGUGUAAACUGUCAUGUUUUCAGACUUCUUGGUGUCGAUCACAUUAAAAUAAUGGUCUCUCUAGUUCCACUUCACCCUGUUUGCUCAUGUUGCUGCCUGGAAAAAUCAAGAGCAUCACUGUGUCAAAAAUGUUUUUGUUUUCCUCUUAUAGAAGUCAAAAUGUAUUUUACUAUGAUUUAUUUUCACAAAAUGCAUUUGGAUGAUUAAACUAAGCUGCAUGGAAUACAUUUCUGUCUUACAGUCUUAAAUGUGGAAUGCAAUAAUAUCGAAAUACAAAAGGAGCAGCCAUGAUAAGAUUUGAUUAGAUUCACUUAAUGUUAAGGAAAGUAACUUCAACUUGCUUUUUCACAAAACAGUUAAAGCAUAUUUUAAACCAGUAGGUUACAGCAGUGUAGUUGCUUGUAAGAGAGGCCUCGAGCCGCCUUUACUCACCAACUGUAAAUAUCUCUUGCUAGCUCAGAGCAGUAUGACUGAUGGAUUAACAUAAUCUGCCCUAUGCAACCUUUAUGCUUACACAGUUGACACAGAGAUGGGGAGAAAACGUCUCUUGAAAGUCUCUUGUUUCCUUGAGCACAGAAAUGCUUGAUCAUCCCCAUUUUUUUUAUUUAACCACUAUUUUACCAAGAUGUCCCUUUACAUAAAAUCCAUUUUUCUUUUUUGUGAAAGACCUGGCCAAGAGGUAGUACACAAAACAGAAAAUAAAAGGUACAUACCAUCAAUUAAAAUGAGGCUUUUUCUUUGUCCUUCUUGUUUGGAGCUGUAUCAUUCAAAGUGACAUUUGUACAGUCUGACUGAUCAGGAUUUACAUUAAACGAGUGAGCAGUAGUAAGAUAAGAUACAACAGGCAAACCUCUACCAUUGAUUUCUUGCGCAAUAGACUCUAUUGCUGCCAUGGCGAGUGAGAGUUUUGCAGGACCAAAGUGCAGACAAGAGCGAGGAAGCAGCAUGGUGAGUAGAUGAAUGCUUUUUAAUAAGAGCCGGUUAACUUACAGUCUUAUGCAGGACAAGAAAAACACAGGCAGGUCUAAGGAUAUGAAAUGGGUUGUUUUCAGGAGGAACCAGUGGAGAAUAAUGACAAUAAGGGAGUAUAAAGAUUGAGGGAGAGUGGAGAAUGGACCAAUGAACCAAUGGAGUUAAUCAGAGGGGAAUCAGGAUCAGCUGGUGGGAGAAAGAAAAUAACUGAGGGAGAGUGAUUAAUUAUUACCCAGGCUGGAUCGUCAUACUGCUUUGUUAAGCUCACUUUGUGUCUGACCUUUGGAGUAAGGAAAUACUUAUUCAUUAUUUCGUUCUUAGUUCCACUCCUACUUACUGUUCGCUUCUUCUUUACAGCCCCUUUACAUGUACCAGUGCAACCAGUAUUCCUGUAUUCAAUAAACUUAUUAUAAACUU
This is a long non-coding RNA of Girardinichthys multiradiatus, 2570 nucleotides long. RefSeq lists it as uncharacterized. Lineage: Eukaryota; Metazoa; Chordata; Actinopteri; Cyprinodontiformes; Goodeidae. The record is from RefSeq and is a predicted model, not a curated record. The transcript is spliced from 5 exons.